This is a long non-coding RNA of Cornus florida, 458 nucleotides long. RefSeq lists it as uncharacterized. The transcript is spliced from 2 exons. NCBI's taxonomy places the organism in Eukaryota, Viridiplantae, Streptophyta, Magnoliopsida, Cornales, Cornaceae. The record is from RefSeq and is a predicted model, not a curated record.
UCUCCUCCUCCAAAAUCGUAGUUCUAUUUUCUCACUCUACAAAACCCCUUGUCUUUCUGAAGCUUCAUGUUUUCAAGCCUAGAUUUAUUCCUUUCUAGUAGGAUUUAAUCUUUACCAUUAAAGUCAAAGUUGUAGAGCUCAAUGAGAGUUACAAGGUGAUCGGAGUAGAUUUCCAUUUAGAGGAUUCUGGCAUUUUCGAAUUUGGGACUUUUGGGAGCUUUGGCUUGGUUUAUUUGAGGGGUAUGGGGGAUACAUUACACUUUUUGGAGCUGUUGUAUUGUCAGGAAAUAGCGGGGGAAGAUUCUGAUUUGUGCAUUUCGGUUCCAUCCGCACAUGGACGUUUUGAUGUUUAGUCAUUUUAUUGUUAUCUUGUUGAUGCUUCUGGACUAUCCUUCCCAUGGGGGGCAAUUUGGCGUGCAAGGGCUCCUUGUGCUUUAUGUGCAAAAAUGACGAGAAAA